GAAUCGCGAUAUGUAAUGUGAAUUGCAGAUUUCCAGUGAAUCAUCGAAUCUUUGAACGCACCUUGCGCUCUGGUAUUCCGGAGAGCAUGCCUGUUUGAGUGUCAUAU
Molecule: ribosomal RNA, 107 nt
Filed under: Strobilomyces sp. HS2006m
Lineage: Eukaryota; Fungi; Basidiomycota; Agaricomycetes; Boletales; Boletaceae
Description: partial 5.8S rRNA
Rfam family: 5.8S ribosomal RNA
About the family: 5.8S ribosomal RNA (5.8S rRNA) is a component of the large subunit of the eukaryotic ribosome.
Source: RNAcentral